GACACUAUUUCGAUCGUAACUUGACGUCAAAGUCCAGGUACAUCAAGGGAAGCGCGGUGAAAGGCCGCCACUGGUCCGCAACUGUGAUCGGGGACGAAAUCUGCACGAGCCACUGUCCGCUGGAUGGGAAGGCGCAGAGAGUAGGACGAACCGAAAGUCAGGAGACCUGGGUACCUGGAGAAAUCCUA
Molecule: non-coding RNA, 188 nt
Filed under: unidentified
Source: RNAcentral